UAGGGAAUCUUCGGCAAUGGACGGAAGUCUGACCGAGCAACGCCGCGUGAGUGAAGAAGGUUUUCGGAUCGUAAAGCUCUGUUGUAAGAGAAGAAUGAGUGUGAGAGUGGAAAGUUCACACUGUGACGGUAUCUUACCAGAAAGGGANGGUUAACUACGUGCCAGCAGCCGCGGUAAUACGUAGGUCCCAAGCGUUGUCCGGAUUUAUUGGGCGUAAAGCGAGCGCAGGCGGUUAGAUAAGUCUGAAGUUAAGGGCUGUGGCUUAACCAUAGAACGCUUUGGAAACUGUUUAACUUGAGGGGAAAGAGGGGAAGAGGGGAAUUCCGUGGUGUACGGGUGAAAGUGCUAAAAUUUUGGGGGAGAAACCCCGGGGGCAAAGGCGGCUCUCUGGCUUGUAACUGACGCUGAGGCUCGAAAGCGUGGGGAGCAAACAGGAUUACAUACCCUGGUAGUCCACGCCGUAAACGAUGAGUGCUAGGUGUUAGACCCUUUCCGGGGUUUAGUGCCGUAGCUAACGCAUUAAGCACUCCGCCUGGGGAGUACGACCGCAAGGUUG
Molecule: ribosomal RNA, 556 nt
Filed under: uncultured bacterium
Lineage: Bacteria
Description: bacterial SSU rRNA
Rfam family: Bacterial small subunit ribosomal RNA
Source: RNAcentral